This 74-nucleotide transfer RNA is filed under the name Minisyncoccota bacterium. RNAcentral describes it as "tRNA-Glu". It matches the Rfam family "tRNA". Rfam says of the family: Transfer RNA (tRNA) molecules are approximately 80 nucleotides in length. Their secondary structure includes four short double-helical elements and three loops (D, anti-codon, and T loops). Further hydrogen bonds mediate the characteristic L-shaped molecular structure. tRNAs have two regions of fundamental functional importance: the anti-codon, which is responsible for specific mRNA codon recognition, and the 3' end, to which the tRNAs corresponding amino acid is attached (by aminoacyl-tRNA synthetases). tRNAs cope with the degeneracy of the genetic code in two manners: having more than one tRNA (with a specific anti-codon) for a particular amino acid; and 'wobble' base-pairing, i.e. permitting non-standard base-pairing at the 3rd anti-codon position. Lineage: Bacteria; Bacillati; Minisyncoccota. The record is from RNAcentral.
GGCCCCAUCGUCUAGUGGCCUAGGACGUCAGGUUCUCAUCCUGAAGAUCCCCGGUUCGAAUCCGGGUGGGGUCA